UGGCUCAGAAUCAACGCUGGCGGCGUGCCUAACACAUGCAAGUCGAACGCGAAAGGGGCUUCGGCCCUGAGUAGAGUGGCAAACGGGUGAGUAACACGUGGGUGACCUGCCUCAGAGUGGGGGAUAACGUUCCGAAAGGAGCGCUAAUACCGCAUGACAUCCUGCGCUUGGAAGCGCGGUGAUUAAAGCCGGGGAUCGCAAGACCUGGCGCUUGGAGAGGGGCCCGCGGCCGAUUAGCUAGUUGGUGGGGUAAUGGCUCACCAAGGCAACGAUCGGUAUCCGGCCUGAGAGGGCGGACGGACACACUGGGACUGAGACACGGCCCAGACUCCUACGGGAGGCAGCAGUGGGGAAUUGUUCGCAAUGGGCGCAAGCCUGACGACGCAACGCCGCGUGGAGGAUGAAGAUCUUCGGGUCGUAAACUCCUUUCGAUCGGGAAGAACAGUUCCCGGGUCAAUAACCCGGGAGUUUGACGGUACCGAGAGAAGAAGCCCCGGCUAACUCCGUGCCAGCAGCCGCGGUAAUACGGGGGGGGCAAGCGUUGUUCGGAAUUACUGGGCGUAAAGGGCUCGUAGGCGGCCAACUAAGUCGGAUGUGAAAUCCCCAAGCUUAACUUGGGAACUGCAUCCGAUACUGGAUGGCUUGAAUCCGGGAGAGGGAUGCAGAAUUCCAGGUGUAGCGGUGAAAUGCGUAGAUAUCUGGAGGAAUACCGGUGGCGAAGCGGCAUCCUGGACCGGCAUUGACGCUGAGGAGCGAAAGCUAGGGGA
RNAcentral lists this ribosomal RNA (767 nucleotides) under uncultured bacterium. Its description in RNAcentral is "bacterial SSU rRNA". It matches the Rfam family "Bacterial small subunit ribosomal RNA", at positions 20 to 767 of the family's 1533-position model. The record is from RNAcentral.